GGGAAGUCCGGUGAGAAUCCGGCGCUGUCGCGCAGCGGUAUGUGGAGGGGCAAAGGCCCCCCCGCGAGCCCGAAUGCC
This 78-nucleotide non-coding RNA is filed under the name Deinococcus proteolyticus. The record is from RNAcentral. Lineage: Bacteria; Thermotogati; Deinococcota; Deinococci; Deinococcales; Deinococcaceae. RNAcentral also lists the same sequence under 1 other name.